CCCUUAGAUGUUCUGGGCCGCACGCGCGCUACACUGUUCGACGCAGCGAGUCUUAACCUUGACCGAAAGGUUUGGGUAAUCUUCAGCAAAGUCGAACGUGAUGGGGAUCGAUCAUUGCAAUUAUUGAUCGUGAACGAGGAAUUCCUAGUAAACGCAAGUCAUCAUCUUGCAUUGAUUACGUCCCUGCCCUUUGUACACACCGCCCGUCGCUCCUACCGAUUGAAUGUUCCGGUGAACACUUUGGAAUAGUUCUUAUGUGAGGGGAAACUCUUUGCUUGGAUACUGUGAAGUUGUGUAAACCUUAACAUUUAGAGGAAGGAGAAGUCGUAACA
This 332-nucleotide ribosomal RNA is filed under the name uncultured eukaryote. RNAcentral's name for it is "partial 18S ribosomal RNA". It matches the Rfam family "Eukaryotic small subunit ribosomal RNA", at positions 1470 to 1796 of the family's 1831-position model. The record is from RNAcentral.